GCGGUAGCGAGAGAAAAGAGGGAAAAGCGGAGCGAGUUUUGAACGAAAUCUUCUCUUCUAUCUUUAUUUCGUUCAUAUCAAAAUUUAUUUAAUGCGAGAGGGAAUCGAAACUGACACGCACCGCUGCCGGACACGUGGCGUCCGACAGUCACAUGCGGGCGGGCGAGCCACGGAGGGACCUUAUUCUUCCUGCGCCCAACGUGAAUGGGCCGCCCCAUCGACGGGCCCCGUGGGUGGCACGUGUGGGCCAGGAGGUGAGGGGGUUGAGAUCCGACAAUUGU
This 281-nucleotide long non-coding RNA is filed under the name Elaeis guineensis (African oil palm). Its description in RNAcentral is "long non-coding RNA (EGUI_LNC002650)". Lineage: Eukaryota; Viridiplantae; Streptophyta; Magnoliopsida; Arecales; Arecaceae. The record is from RNAcentral.